Molecule: RNA transcript, 2851 nt
Organism: Sus scrofa (pig)
Lineage: Eukaryota; Metazoa; Chordata; Mammalia; Artiodactyla; Suidae
Gene: STARD3NL
Gene name: STARD3 N-terminal like
Source: RefSeq, marked provisional
GUCGACGUCAGCGUGAUGACGUCACGGGACGGGUACUCGAGAAGGUCUGGGGGCACCUUUCCGCGGGCGGUGGGUUGUGUGUGGUCCGCAGGGCUAGAUUCCCGGUCCCGCCCCGCCCAGCUCCGCCCCUCCGCCCGCAAGGACUCCUGCGGGCACAGUCCGGGAGCCGCUGUCGCCCGGCCAGCCUGAGGCGGCCGGCCGGGAACAACCCGAUGAGGAUCUCUUCCCUCUAGGGAUGGUGAGGUCGGAGAGAGGCUCCUCUAAGCCUCCUGCAGGAUGAACCCCCUGCCAGAAGACAUGGAGAACACUCUCACGGGGAGUCAGAGCUCGCAUGCAUCCUUGCGUGAUGUCCAUUCCAUCAACCCCACACAACUCAUGGCCAGGAUUGAGUCCUAUGAAGGAAGAGAAAAGAAAGGCAUAUCUGAUGUCAGGAGGACUUUCUGUUUGUUUGUCACCUUUGACCUCUUAUUUGUAACCUUACUGUGGAUAAUAGAGUUAAAUGUGAAUGGAGGUAUUGAGAACACGUUAGAGAAGGAGGUGGUGCAGUAUGACUACUACUCUUCUUAUUUUGAUAUCUUUCUUUUGGCAGUUUUUCGAUUUAAAGUGUUAAUACUUGCAUACGCGGUGUGCAGACUGCGCCACUGGUGGGCCAUAGCGUUGACGACAGCAGUGACCAGUGCCUUUUUACUAGCAAAAGUGAUCCUCUCAAAGCUUUUCUCUCAAGGGGCUUUCGGCUACGUGCUGCCCAUCAUCUCCUUCAUCCUUGCCUGGAUCGAGACGUGGUUCCUGGAUUUCAAGGUGUUACCCCAAGAGGCAGAAGAAGAAAACAGACUCCUGAUAGUUCAAGACGCCUCAGAGAGGGCAGCCCUUAUACCUGGUGGGCUUUCUGAUGGUCAGUUUUAUUCUCCUCCUGAAUCUGAAGCAGGAUCAGAAAAUGAAGCUGAAGAAAAGCAGGACAGUGAAAAACCACUUUUAGAACUAUGAGUAAGACUCCGGUCAAAGUAAGUCUUUGAAAAAUGAACCUGUAACAACAAAGUAGCUAAAUAUGGAAACUUUCUUUGAGUAGAUUCAAAGUAAAAUUCAAAAAUUGAGUGUGAUUAUAUAGUUAUAUUUCUCGUUUUUACAUGAAUUUUCAGACACAUUUUUAAUGUAAGAUUUCUGAACGUUUUCUAGGUGUUAAUUUGCAAAGGAUGAAAAAUUCCUCAGAGUCCCACAUUUCUAAGUAAGGAUGAGCUAGUUCAUUUUGUUGACUUAGCUAGAAUGUCUCCUUGAUUACAAACGCUACCUUCUGACUGGGGUAAGGGGAGCAGCCUCAUGACAUUGGUCCUGUAUCGUCCCCAUUUACACCUGAGACAAAUGGGACUAGAGGGUGAGUGGCUGGUCCAAGGUGGCACAGCUGGCAGGGGCAGAGCUAGGACUCAGGCCACCCCGUCUGGUACCAGGAUCGCUCUGGCCGUGCAGCCGAGUGUCGACUGUCUCCAGGGUGUUUUGGAGUUUCUGCGAUGAAAGACGUGAUCCAUUCACAGCGGUAGGGCUUCUGUGCCUCCAGGUGGGGCACACUGUUAAACGCCUUCAAAUCAUCACAGGAAAGCAUUUCAACCUCAGAAAUACAAGCCCAUAAACAUAUUGUAGGUUGCAAUAGCAGGAACUCUGCCUAAUUAAUUUCAGCCAGAAGGAAAAGGAGAGUAGAUCUUAAAAGAAAAACAAAUUAUUAUAACUAUGUAUAGUGAGGAUGUUAACUAAACUUUUCGUGGUGACCAUUUCACAAUAUAUACAAAUGUUAUGUUGUGUAACUGAAACAAUAUAUCUUAAUAAAAAUAAUAAUAAAUUUUAAAAAACAGAGUUCCCUGGUGGCACAGCGGGGAUAAGGAUCUGGUGUUACCACUGUAGUGGCUCAGGUCGCUGCUCUUGCACGAGUUCGAUCCCUGGCAUUGGAACUUCCACAUACUGCAGGUGUAAUUAAAAACAAAAAUAAAAUAAAAAGAAAGGAAUGGUAGUGGGCAGAUUUGAGUAGCUGGGCAGCCAGCACAGGGGAGACCGCAUCAGGAACAGCCAUGGCCGUGCAGUUGGAUGCCAGGGCUGCAAGAGUGGAUUGCAACACGGUUCAGCCCCUUUUUCUACAACAGUGUUCCAGACAGAAGACAAAAAUGUGGGCAGGCGUGAAAAACUUUCAUUGAAAGACACCUGAAGGAGAAAAGGGACCAUUGAAAGGUGAAAUGGUGACAUCCACUACUGACAUGAUUGAACGGCUAGUAAAGAAUUUAUUUAUUGUAAUACCUCACAGACAUUGUAUCAUAUCCACAUACAUUUGAUAGCCUGCCUGUGGCUGGUAAGAUAAUGUCAUGAUCCAUCCUGUUUUCAUGAGACUGAGUCUGAUCUGUUAAUGAAUAGUUGCAGAACGUCUCGUGCUGUAUUCUUAAUCAAAAGACUUCUAAUAUAUUGGAAUAACACUUUUUAGUAAGCAAAAUGUCUUUUUAUUUUGAUUUUUUUGUCAUGUCUCAGAUUUGUUUUGUAUUGCUUUUUUUAACACCCUACAUUUCCCUUGUGUUUUUUAACUCAUGCACAUUCACUAUUUGUACAAUUUUAAAAGGUAAUAAAAUCCAACAUGUCAAAAUGGUUAGUUUCAUUUUUUGUGGUUUGCAUUAUGUAUUUGGCCUAAAGUGUUAGAAUUACAAAAGGGGGGCAUGAGGGAUUGUGAAUCCAUGUAGAAGGUCACCAGAAAUAGUAUCUUUCUCUUAGAGGUAUGAUCUCAAAAGUCUGAGUACUCUCACUUUAAACCCACUCUUUGAAAUCAAUUGUCGUCACUUUCCCUUGUAUUUAGAUAGAGUGAAUUAAAAUGAACUCAGUUAUA